GAUAAUAACAGGAACAGGAUAAGCAGCUGGACUUUGUCUCCUGUGGACGCUUCAAGGGAACGGAACGGCAGAAACAGAGAGGGGCUGAGCCCUGCUGGCAUAAAAGACAAAGAGACCACAUAGUUCUCAUUCUCGGGGCCAAGGAGACUCCCUCCCAGACUAUGCAUGUGCAGAAAGGUUAAAGGGAGGGGGCGCCAGACCAUAAUAUGUUCUGUUAACCUCUCAGAGACCCUUGCGCUGGAAUCCAUCUUGGCUAAAAGAUGCGUGUGCACACAGGGGAGGGCCCUGAGUCAGACCAGAUAUGGACUCAGAGCCAGACAAAGCAAGCUGACUGGCCAGAGGAAACCUAGAAGAACUUCCCCCAUAUGGUUUAAACCACCCCCAAAAGCACACGCCUCUCUCUCUCUCUCUCAGCCUGCCUUGUACUUUCUAUUCUUCUCUCCUAAUAAACACUUUACUUGCCUCAAUACUUUUCAUCUCUUUGCUGAUUCUUUCUUCAAAGCAGAUGAGAGCCAGGGCCCUGCUCCUAGCCAAUAGUCCCUGGUGGUCUAGUGGUUAGAAUUCGGUGCUUUCACUGCUGUGGUCCGGGUUCAAUUCCCAGGGAACUGAGAUCCCACUUCAAGCUGCCGCUCACUGUGGUCACUCACAGCCACCUGAGAUCAGGUUUUCAGGCCUUUAGACUCAGACUGAAUCACACACCAGCUUUCCUGGUUCCCAGCUUGCAGAUGGCAGACUAUGGGACUUCUUGGCUUCCGUCACUAUCACCCACAGAAUGAGGUCACCAAUGGAGGGAGAGGAGAAUGAAAAGAGAACCAAGGUCCGAGGCCAGAGGGCGGCUACUUUUGUUGAGGUGGGCACAUAGGCUAUUUAUUUCUAAGGGAUGCCUCAGAGAGAGACUUUAGUGCUGCAACCGUCCACUUUCAGGGGGUGCCUGUGUAUCAUGUAGAACCCCCCAUAAACCAGGCCUGAGUGUUCUCUUCCUCUAUCAACUGAUCAUAGGAAACUCCCCGUGAAGCCACAGGUGAACAUGAGUGUACAACUGUCUGUUUGAGUCCCUGCUUUAAAUUCUUUUGUUUAUAU
This is a long non-coding RNA of Aethalodelphis obliquidens (Pacific white-sided dolphin), 1080 nucleotides long. RefSeq lists it as uncharacterized. The transcript is spliced from 5 exons. NCBI's taxonomy places the organism in Eukaryota, Metazoa, Chordata, Mammalia, Artiodactyla, Delphinidae. The record is from RefSeq and is a predicted model, not a curated record.